ACAAGGCCUUUACUGACGCUAAAGCUCGAAGGUGCGGGUAUCGAACAGGAUUAGAUACCCUGGUAGUCCGCACGGUAAACGAUGGAUGCCCGCUGUUUGCGAUAUAUUGUAAGCGGCCAAGAGAAAUCGUUAAGCAUCCCACCUGGGGAGUACGCCGGCAACGGUGAAACUCAAAGGAAUUGACGGGGGCCCGCACAAGCGGAGGAACAUGUGGUUUAAUUCGAUGAUACGCGAGGAACCUUACCCGGGCUUGAACUGCAGCGGAAGGAUACAGAGAUGUUGACGUCCUUCGGGACCGCUGUGGAGGUGCUGCAUGGUUGUCGUCAGCUCGUGCCGUGAGGUGUCGGCUUAAGUGCCAUAACGAGCGCAACCCUUUUCAUCAGUUGCCAUCAGGUGGUGCUGGGCACUCUGUUGAUACUGCCACCGUAAGGUGUGAGGAAGGUGGGGAUGACGUCAAAUCAGCACGGCCCUUACGUCCGGGGCUACACACGUGGUACAAUGGGGCAUACAGAAGGCAGGAUCACGGCAACGUGUUUCAAAUCUUUAAAGUGCUCCUCAGUUCGGAUUGGGGUCUGCAACCCGACCCCAUGAAGCUGGAUU
Molecule: ribosomal RNA, 600 nt
Filed under: uncultured bacterium
Lineage: Bacteria
Description: bacterial SSU rRNA
Rfam family: Bacterial small subunit ribosomal RNA
Source: RNAcentral